This 361-nucleotide ribosomal RNA is filed under the name Ixodes ricinus (castor bean tick). Its description in RNAcentral is "partial 16S ribosomal RNA". The stretch from base 66 to 361 matches the Rfam family "Bacterial large subunit ribosomal RNA", at positions 2078 to 2619 of the family's 2925-position model. The record is from RNAcentral. Lineage: Eukaryota; Metazoa; Arthropoda; Arachnida; Ixodida; Ixodidae. RNAcentral also lists the same sequence under 1 other name.
AAAAGCUUUCUUUAAUUAAAUAAUUGAAUUUAAUUUUUUAGUGCAAAAGCAAAAAUAAAAAUUAGGGACAAGAAGACCCUAUGAAUUUUUUAUUAAAUUUUAUAUAAAGUUUUAUAAAAUUUAAUUUAAUUGGGGUGAUGGAAAAAGAAUAAAUAUCUUUCUUUUAAAGAAAAUUGGUUCCGUUUUUAGCGAUUAAAUGAAAAAAAUACUCUAGGGAUAACAGCGUAAUAAUUUUGGAUAGUUCAUAUAGAUAAAAUAGUUUGCGACCUCGAUGUUGGAUUAGGAUUCUUUUUUGGUGAAGAAGUUAAAAAAAGAAGUUUGUUCAACUUAUAAUUUCCUACUUGAUCUGAGUUCAGACCGG